UACACGCUGUGACUAGCAUAUCAAUAAGCGGAGGAAAAGAAACUAACAAGGAUUCCCUUAGUAACGGCGAGUGAAGCGGGAAGAGCUCAAAUUUGAAAUCUUCAAGGUUUUACCUUGACGAAUUGUAGUUUAAAGAGGUGUUUUCUGCUGAAGUUUUGGUAAAAGUUCUUUGGAAUAGGACAUCAUAGAGGGUGAGAAUCCCGUAUUUGACCAUUAUUUUCAGCUUUGUGAUACACUUUCAAAGAGUCGGAUUGUUUGGGAAUGCAGUCCAAAAUGGGUGGUAAAUUUCAUCUAAAGCUAAAUAUUGGCGAGAGACCGAUAUGCGAACAAGUACCGUGAGGGAAAGAUGAAAAGAACUUUGAAAAGAGAGUUAAACAGUACGUGAAAUUGUCAAAAGGGAAGCGUUUGACACCAGUGUUGUUUUCUCGAAAAUCAAUUAAAAAUGGCUCGAUUUUGUAUUGCUUGAGACCUUAAAAGCUCACUGUACAUUUUUCGUGUCUUUUUUAAUGCACUUUUCGUUUAACAAGUCAACAUCAGUUUCUUUUGUUGUAAAAGGGUCAUUGGAAGGUGGCUUUCUUUUCGGAGAAAGUGUUUAUAGCCUUUGGCCUCUGCAAUCGAAGAGACUGAGGUCUGCAGCGUAGACUCUUCGGGGUUAGAUACAUUUGUGCUAAGUUAUAGCUUUUUAUAGACAACUUGUUGACUAUAAUUAGUCUUGUAGCUUACUCGCUUAUGCUAUUUUACCUACGCUUAGGAUGUUGAUCUACAGAGCGAGAGU
RNAcentral lists this ribosomal RNA (775 nucleotides) under uncultured Neocallimastigales. RNAcentral's name for it is "partial large subunit ribosomal RNA". It matches the Rfam family "Eukaryotic large subunit ribosomal RNA", at positions 22 to 635 of the family's 3401-position model. The record is from RNAcentral. Lineage: Eukaryota; Fungi; Neocallimastigomycota; Neocallimastigomycetes; Neocallimastigales.